This is a non-coding RNA of Centropristis striata (black sea bass), 83 nucleotides long. Lineage: Eukaryota; Metazoa; Chordata; Actinopteri; Perciformes; Serranidae. The record is from the annotation of a RefSeq genome assembly.
GUCAGGAAGGCCGAGCGGUCCAAGGCGUUGCGUUAAGGUCGCAGUCUCCACAGGAGACGUGGGUUUGAAUCCCACUUCUGACA